RNAcentral lists this ribosomal RNA (171 nucleotides) under Salmonella enterica. RNAcentral's name for it is "partial 23S ribosomal RNA". It matches the Rfam family "Bacterial large subunit ribosomal RNA", at positions 2759 to 2925 of the family's 2925-position model. The record is from RNAcentral. Lineage: Bacteria; Pseudomonadati; Pseudomonadota; Gammaproteobacteria; Enterobacterales; Enterobacteriaceae.
UAAGUUAAGUGCUGAAAGCAUCUAAGCACGAAACUUGCCCCGAGAUGAGUUCUCCCUGAGACUUAGAGUCUCCUGAAGGAACGUUGAAGACGACGACGUUGAUAGGCCGGGUGUGUAAGCGCAGCGAUGCGUUGAGCUAACCGGUACUAAUGAACCGUGAGGCUUAACCUU